AGCGAACAGACGAGGAGCUUGCUCCUCUGACGUUAGCGGCGGACGGGUGAGUAACACGUGGAUAACCUACCUAUAAGACUGGGAUAACUUCGGGAAACCGGAGCUAAUACCGGAUAAUAUAUUGAACCGCAUGGUUCAAUAGUGAAAGACGGUUUUGCUGUCACUUAUAGAUGGAUCCGCGCCGCAUUAGCUAGUUGGUAAGGUAACGGCUUACCAAGGCAACGAUGCGUAGCCGACCUGAGAGGGUGAUCGGCCACACUGGAACUGAGACACGGUCCAGACUCCUACGGGAGGCAGCAGUAGGGAAUCUUCCGCAAUGGGCGAAAGCCUGACGGAGCAACGCCGCGUGAGUGAUGAAGGUCUUCGGAUCGUAAAACUCUGUUAUUAGGGAAGAACAAAUGUGUAAGUAACUAUGCACGUCUUGACGGUACCUAAUCAGAAAGCCACGGCUAACUACGUGCCAGCAGCCGCGGUAAUACGUAGGUGGCAAGCGUUAUCCGGAAUUAUUGGGCGUAAAGCGCGCGUAGGCGGUUUUUUAAGUCUGAUGUGAAAGCCCACGGCUCAACCGUGGAGGGUCAUUGGAAACUGGAAAACUUGAGUGCAGAAGAGGAAAGUGGAAUUCCAUGUGUAGCGGUGAAAUGCGCAGAGAUAUGGAGGAACACCAGUGGMGAAGGCGACUUUCUGGUCUGUAACUGA
RNAcentral lists this ribosomal RNA (696 nucleotides) under uncultured Staphylococcus sp. RNAcentral's name for it is "bacterial SSU rRNA". It matches the Rfam family "Bacterial small subunit ribosomal RNA", at positions 65 to 743 of the family's 1533-position model. Lineage: Bacteria; Bacillati; Bacillota; Bacilli; Caryophanales; Staphylococcaceae. The record is from RNAcentral.